AGAAAGGCGAGAGAGCUAUAAAAGAGGCACCGUUCUCGACGAUGGGCAUCAAACACCUCGACAUGAAGGUGUUCGUGAUUACGCUCCUAUUGGCGUGCCUCGCUACCGCCUAUGGCGGUUACAUAAGCAGUGGAGGCUGGUCUGGCGGAGGUGGUGGCUGGUCUGGCGGAGGUGGAGGUGGAGGCUGG
Polistes dominula (European paper wasp) is the source of this 188-nucleotide long non-coding RNA. Lineage: Eukaryota; Metazoa; Arthropoda; Insecta; Hymenoptera; Vespidae. The record is from RefSeq and is a predicted model, not a curated record.